RNAcentral lists this ribosomal RNA (497 nucleotides) under uncultured bacterium. RNAcentral describes it as "partial 16S ribosomal RNA". It matches the Rfam family "Bacterial small subunit ribosomal RNA", at positions 28 to 507 of the family's 1533-position model. The record is from RNAcentral.
GAUGAACGCUGGCGGCGUGCCUAAUACAUGCAAGUCGAGCGAACGGACGAGAAGCUUGCUUCUCUGAUGUUAGCGGCGGACGGGUGAGUAACACGUGGAUAACCUACCUAUAAGACUGGGAUAACUUCGGGAAACCGGAGCUAAUACCGGAUAAUAUUUUGAACCGCAUGGUUCAAAAGUAAAAGACGGUCUUGCUGUCACUUAUAGAUGGAUCCGCGCUGCAUUAGCUAGUUGGUAAGGUAACGGCUUACCAAGGCAACGAUGCAUAGCCGACCUGAGAGGGUGAUCGGCCACACUGGAACUGAAACACGGUCCAGACUCCUACGGGAGGCAGCAGUAGGGAAUCUUCCGCAAUGGGCGAAAGCCUGACGGAGCAACGCCGCGUGAGUGAUGAAGGUCUUCGGAUCGUAAAACUCUGUUAUUAGGGAAGAACAUAUGUGUAAGUAACUGUGCACAUCUUGACGGUACCUAAUCAGAAAGCCACGGCUAACUACGUG